GGUGAGCUUAAUACGCUCAUCAAUUGACGUUACUCGCAGAAGAAGCACCGGCUAACUCCGUGCCAGCAGCCGCGGUAAUACGGAGGGUGCAAGCGUUAAUCGGAAUUACUGGGCGUAAAGCGCACGCAGGCGGUUUGUUAAGUCAGAUGUGAAAUCCCCGGGCUCAACCUGGGAACUGCAUUUGAAACUGGCAAGCUAGAGUCUCGUAGAGGGGGGUAGAAUUCCAGGUGUAGCGGUGAAAUGCGUAGAGAUCUGGAGGAAUACCGGUGGCGAAGGCGGCCCCCUGGACGAAGACUGACGCUCAGGUGCGNAAGCGUGGGGAGCAAACAGGAUUAGAUAC
Molecule: ribosomal RNA, 340 nt
Filed under: Serratia marcescens
Lineage: Bacteria; Pseudomonadati; Pseudomonadota; Gammaproteobacteria; Enterobacterales; Yersiniaceae
Description: bacterial SSU rRNA
Rfam family: Bacterial small subunit ribosomal RNA
Source: RNAcentral